This 490-nucleotide ribosomal RNA is filed under the name uncultured bacterium. RNAcentral describes it as "partial 16S ribosomal RNA". It matches the Rfam family "Bacterial small subunit ribosomal RNA", at positions 30 to 507 of the family's 1533-position model. The record is from RNAcentral.
AUUGAACGCUGGCGGCAGGCCUAACACAUGCAAGUCGAACGGUAACAGGAAGAAGCUUGCUUCUUUGCUGACGAGUGGCGGACGGGUGAGUAAUGUCUGGGAAACUGCCUGAUGGAGGGGGAUAACUACUGGAAACGGUAGCUAAUACCGCAUAACGUCGCAAGACCAAAGAGGGGGACCUUCGGGCCCCUUGCCAUCGGAUGUACCCAGAUGGGAUUAGCUAGUAGGUGGGGUAACGGCUCACCUAGGCGACGAUCCCUAGCUGGUCUGAGAGGAUGACCAGCCACACUGGAACUGAGACACGGUCCAGACUCCUACGGGAGGCAGCAGUGGGGAAUAUUGCACAAUGGGCGCAAGCCUGAUGCAGCCAUGCCGCGUGUAUGAAGAAGGCCUUCGGGUUGUAAAGUACUUUCAGCGGGGAGGAAGGGAGUAAAGUUAAUACCUUUGCUCAUUGACGUUACCCGCAGAAGAAGCACCGGCUAACUCCGUG